This 492-nucleotide ribosomal RNA is filed under the name uncultured bacterium. RNAcentral's name for it is "partial 16S ribosomal RNA". It matches the Rfam family "Bacterial small subunit ribosomal RNA", at positions 29 to 507 of the family's 1533-position model. The record is from RNAcentral.
AGUGAACGCUGGCGGUAGGCCUAACACAUGCAAGUCGAACGGCAGCACAGUAAGAGCUUGCCCUUACGGGUGGCGAGUGGCGGACGGGUGAGGAAUACAUCAGAAUCUACUUUUUCGUGGGGGAUAACGUAGGGCAACUUACGCUAAUACCGCAUACGACCUACGGGUGAAAGCAGGAGAUCUUCAGACCUUGCGCGAUUGAAUGAGCCGAUGUCGGAUUAGCUAGUUGGCGGGGUAACGGCCCGCCAAGGCGACGAUCCGUAGCUGAUCUGAGAGGAUGAUCAGCCACACUGGAACUGAGACACGGUCCAGACUCCUACGGGAGGCAGCAGUGGGGAAUAUUCGGCAAUGGGCGAAAGCCUGAUCCAGCAACGCCGCGUGAGUGAUGAAGGUCUUCGGGUCGUAAAGCCCUUUUGUUGGGAAAGAAAAGCAGCAUAUUUAUACCCCGCUGUCCUGACGGUACCCAAAGAGUAAGCCCCGGCUAACUUCGUG